GCGGCGGAAUUCAGGAUGGCGGGCGUGCCUUCGCGGCGCGUCGGUCGUUUGAUAUUUCCGUCGCCGAUCAACCGCAGACGUUGCGACCUGUUUGCGGUCGGUCCUUGCUCGGAGGAGCCGCGUUCGAGUUCGUUGUGUACGCGUUUCGGCGCGUCACACGGCGAAGGCGCGGAACUCUGGCUGGCCGUCGGACAGUAUGCUUAACGGUGUCCGGUGUCGUCGUCUCGUACGCGCGUGCAACCGGUACCGGUCAGCGACGAAUUCUUCGGGCCUCUUUCCGACCCGUCUUGAAACACGGACCAAGGAGUCUAACAUGCGCGCGAGUCGCGGGGUGUCGAGCGUACUUUGGUGCGUUCGUUACGUUGCGAAACCCGUACAUGUCRAAGGCGUAAUGAAAGUGAAUGGGGAAGAUGGUGUUCCGAGUACACGUUCCGCGAUCGUCGGUAUCGCGGCCGGACACCCGCAUUCCCGGGGCGUCUCAACGGCCCGUCGCUGAUGCGGACAGUCGUCUUCCGGGGUGGCUGUCGGUCGGCGAUGAACCGAGGCGCACCUAUAGCGUGCACGUUGGUACCCGAAAGAUGGUGAACUAUGCCUGGCCAGGAUGAAGUCAGG
Molecule: ribosomal RNA, 612 nt
Filed under: Aonidia sp. MTS-2013
Lineage: Eukaryota; Metazoa; Arthropoda; Insecta; Hemiptera; Diaspididae
Description: partial 28S ribosomal RNA
Rfam family: Eukaryotic large subunit ribosomal RNA
Source: RNAcentral